Molecule: ribosomal RNA, 253 nt
Filed under: uncultured bacterium
Lineage: Bacteria
Description: partial 16S ribosomal RNA
Rfam family: Bacterial small subunit ribosomal RNA
Source: RNAcentral
UACAGAGGUCCCAAGCGUUGUUCGGAUUCACUGGGCGUAAAGGGUGCGUAGGUGGCCAGGUAAGUUCGGUGUGAAAGCUCGGAGCUCAACUCCGAAAUGUCAUUGAAUACUAUCUGGCUGGAGGGUCGGAGGGGAGACUGGAAUUCUCGGUGUAGCAGUGAAAUGCGCAGAUAUCGGGAGGAACACCAGUGGCGAAGGCGGCUCGCUGGGACGUUACUGACGCUGAGGCGCGAAAGCGUGGGGAGCAAACAGG